RNAcentral lists this ribosomal RNA (253 nucleotides) under uncultured bacterium. RNAcentral describes it as "partial 16S ribosomal RNA". It matches the Rfam family "Bacterial small subunit ribosomal RNA", at positions 524 to 776 of the family's 1533-position model. The record is from RNAcentral.
UACGUAGGAGGCAAGCGUUGUCCGGAAUCACUGGGCGUAAAGCGCGUGUAGGCGGCCCUGCAAGUCGGAUGUGAAAUCCCACGGCUCAACCGUGGAAGUGCAUUCGAAACUGCAGGGCUAGAGUCCUGGAGAGGAAGGUGGAAUGCUUGGUGUAGAGGUGAAAUUCGUAGAUAUCAAGCGGAACACCGGUGGCGAAGGCGGCCUUCUGGACAGUGACUGACGCUGAGACGCGAAAGCGUGGGGAGCAAACAGG